Molecule: ribosomal RNA, 379 nt
Filed under: uncultured eukaryote
Lineage: Eukaryota
Description: partial 18S ribosomal RNA
Rfam family: Eukaryotic small subunit ribosomal RNA
Source: RNAcentral
CAAUAGCGUAUAUUAAAGUUGUUGCAGUUAGAACGCUCGUAGUCGGAUUUCGGGGCGGGCCGACCGGUCUGCCGAUGGGUACGCACUGGUCGGCGCGUCCUUCCUUCCGGAGACCGUGCCUACUCUUAACUGAGCGGGGGCGGGAGACGGAUCGUUUACUUUGAAAAAAUCAGAGUGUUUCAAGCAGGCAGCUCGCUCUUGCAUGGAUUAGCAUGGGAUAAUGAAAUAGGACUUUGGUGCUAUUUUGUUGGUUUCGAACACCGAAGUAAUGAUUAAAAGGGACAGUCAGGGGCACUCGUAUUCCGCCGAGAGAGGUGAAAUUCUCAGACCAGCGGAAGACGAACCACUGCGAANGNAUUUGCNAGGGAUGUUUNCACUG